GUUACUACACUCAGAUUACUACACUCAGGUUACUACACUCAGGUUACUACACUCGGAUUACUACACUCGGAUUACUACACUCAGAUUACUACACUCAGAUUACUACACUCAGAUUACUACACUCAGAUUACUACACUCGGGUUACUACACUCGGGUUACUACACUCAGGUUACUACACUCAGGUUACUACACUCAGGUUACUACACUCAGAUUACUACACUCAGGUUACUACACUCAGAUUACUACACUCAGAUUACUACACUCGGGUUACUACACUCAGAUUACUACACUCGGGUUACUACACUCGGGUUACUACACUCGGGUUAGUACACUCGGGUUACUACACUCGGGUUACUACACUCGGGUUACUACACUCGGGUUAGUACACUCGGGUUACUACACUCGGGUUACUACACUCGGGUUAGUACACUCGGGUUAGUACACUCGGGUUAGUACACUCGGGUUAGUACACUCGGAUUACUACACUCGGAUUACUACACUCGGAUUACUACACUCGGAUUACUACACCGGGUUACUACACUCGGGUUACUACACUCGGAUUACUACACUCGGAUUACUACACUCAGGUUAGUACACUCAGAUUACUACACUCAGAUUACUACACUCAGAUUAAUACACUCAGAUUACUACACUCGGGUUACUACACUCAGAUUACUACACUC
Molecule: long non-coding RNA, 683 nt
Organism: Ictalurus punctatus (channel catfish)
Lineage: Eukaryota; Metazoa; Chordata; Actinopteri; Siluriformes; Ictaluridae
Source: Ensembl